RNAcentral lists this ribosomal RNA (468 nucleotides) under uncultured bacterium. RNAcentral describes it as "partial 16S ribosomal RNA". It matches the Rfam family "Bacterial small subunit ribosomal RNA", at positions 28 to 507 of the family's 1533-position model. The record is from RNAcentral.
GACGAACGCUGGCGGCGUGCUUAACACAUGCAAGUCGAACGGAAAGGCCCUGCUUUUGUGGGGUGCUCGAGUGGCGAACGGGUGAGUAACACGUGAGUAACCUGCCCUUGACUUUGGGAUAACUUCAGGAAACUGGGGCUAAUACCGGAUAGGAGCUCCUGCUGCAUGGUGGGGGUUGGAAAGUUUCGGCGGUUGGGGAUGGACUCGCGGGUUAUCAGCUUGUUGGUGGGGUAGUGGCUUACCAAGGCUUUGACGGGUAGCCGGCCUGAGAGGGUGACCGGCCACAUUGGGACUGAGAUACGGCCCAGACUACUACGGGAGGCAGCAGUGGGGAAUAUUGCACAAUGGGCGGAAGCCUGAUGCAGCAACGCCGCGUGCGGGAUUACGGCCUUCGGGUUGUAAACAGCUUUCGCCUGUGACGAAGCGUGAGUGACGGUAAUGGGUAAAGAAGCACCGGCUAACUACGUG